RNAcentral lists this long non-coding RNA (1575 nucleotides) under Homo sapiens (human). RNAcentral's name for it is "HSALNT0378258". Lineage: Eukaryota; Metazoa; Chordata; Mammalia; Primates; Hominidae. The record is from RNAcentral.
AAGAUAAUAAAAGCAGGCUGCGUGAGCCAACAGUGGCAACUUGUUCGGGUAUCCUUCCCCAGUGUGGAAGCUUUAGUUCUUUUGCUCUUUGCAAUGAAUCUUGCUGCUGCUCACUCUUUGGGUCCACGCUGCGUUUACACUGUGUUUAUGAGCUGUAACACUCACCACAAAGGUCUGCAGCUUCACUCCUGAAGCCAGCAAAGACCACGAACCCACCAGGAAGAAGGAACAACUCCAGACACGCAGCCUUAAGAGCUGUAACACUCACUGCCAAGGUCUUCAGCUUCACUCCUGAGCCAGCCAGACCAUGAACCCACCAGAAGGAAAAAACUCGGAACACAUCCCAACAUCAGAAGGAACAAACUCUGGACAUGCCGCCUUUAAGAACUGUAACAACGCAAGGGUCCGCGGCUUUAUUCUUGAAGUCAGUAAGACCAAGAACCCAAUUCCGGACACGUUUGGACCAGACAAAGUCUUCCUAUGUUGCCCAGGCUGAUCUCAAACUUCUGGGUUCAAGGGAUCCUGCCACCUCAGCUUCCCACACUGAUGGGAUUAUAGGCAUGAGCCACUGCACCCUGCCUAGGCCCACAAGGGCAAGACUUCAUGAGGUUCUGGUGACCAAGCAUGCUCAUCGCUGUCCUGGGACUGCUCCAAGUGCAAUUCAAAGAUGUUUGUUACAAAUGAAGAUCCUCUCCUCAGAGAUCCUCAUUCCCUGCAUUUGAGAUGGGCCCUGGGAACCUUCAUUAUUAACUCCUGAAUUUCACUUGGACCAACACGGUGAUGGUGACAAGCCCAGCAGAUGGAAAGGCAGCUCAACAUCUGAGAAGCCAGUCUUACUCCCUGCAGGCAACAGCUGCUUCCAGAAAACAGCCCUGUAAUUGUCACCAUCAAAUCCAUAUAUUUUCAAGGGAAGUUGGUCCCACACCAGAAGUCAUAGCUGAAUCACCAGCAGUAAUGCAGGGACAUACUGGUUGCUUCUUGGCUUUUCCAACCCUCUGCCAUGCUUGAACAUCUUUGUGAAAGUCCAGGAACAACAAAUAAGCUUAAGGAUAAAAGCCCCCCAGCCAUACCACCACAACCCCCUGUUAAACUCAUGCAUGACUUGUAGAAUCCUUUCCCCACUGUCACUAAAAGGCUUUUUACAUUUUCCCUCCUUAAAACACCAGUUUACUGAAUGGAACGCUAUUUCCUAAAUAUUUGCUACACACACAGCUGUAUAUAGAGUUCCCAGGAGAUGACUUUUUUCUUGUCAUCUUUUAAAACUACAGUUAUAUGUUGAUUUAAUUAUCUUCUCUCUAGAUUACUUCACCAAAGUACAGUUCCUACAGGAAGAUAAUGAUCUGACCUAACCUACUAUUGGCUGAAGGAAGGAGAAAAGCAGCUGAAGAUGUCUGUUGAGUGAUUACCCUCAUAAUCCGUGACUAAGAACAUCCAAAUCAGCAUGGCUUCUUCCUGUCUGAAAUUAUUACUACUUAGGGUUUUUCACGUGUUAUUUCAUUUAUUGAUUAUUCUGUUUUAAACUUGCAAGACGUAUUGUCUCUUCAGAAAUAAAACUUUAUCACUUGCUUCAUCAAU